CUGUAAAAAGACUUAUAUUUAGAAACGGAGGGAGUACUAUAAAGUUGUAAGUUAUAAGUUUAUGACACACACGGUCCACACUGGACAAUACCAAAGAGGACAACCAUUAUAGCACCACGACAAAACAUACCCUGCUGAAAAGAAACAUACAAGGGGGUCGAUUGCUACCAGAGAAGUAGGAGCCGUUGGAGCACCAUAGCUGAAGAAAGCAUUGCCAUCGCAGAGCAAAUAUCACUGGCGCGUCAACCGGGGUUCAAUCCUAUGUUCACCCCGUUUUGGGGGGUUUCCCUCCUUUUUCUCCGUUAGCCAUCCCUUAAUUUGUUCACUUAAUAGAGGGUCGAGAAUCACACGUGACCUGGAAGCAUGGCAUGUUAUUGAAGUUCUCUUUUUUGGAACGUUAAAAAGAAUUACUCUGCGUGAUUUGAUUUUUUUUUUGCGACAACACCCGCAUUAUAUAUUUCUAUUUGAAACCAUUGCUAUGGACAACAUUUUUUACUCCAUUAUAUAUGUAGGCUUGAGCUUCAGGGCUUGCUUGCUAGGGUUGCUCCCGUCUCACUCUCUCACCAUUUCCAAAUCCAAACAGGACGAUAGUGGCCACUCUAUCUCUUUCCUCACCGGGCCAUAGAUUUGACCGGAUCCCGUCGGCUGGGGAAGGGGAGGAGAUGCAGCAUUGACAUGGUCGCCGUUGGCGAGGGACGAAGCCUACGCACACCAUCCUCUGUGAGCUAGUGCUAGCGCGGAAAGGCCUCUGUGCCCUUGCUCGCUGCCGUCGUAUGGGGAAGAUCCUGCUGCCGGCCUCGCCACAUCUCGCCGACCUAAGCUUUUACUAUUAGAGGAAAGGCUACCCCAUGAAGACAAAAAGAUGUCCUCGUUGAAUGAGGAAAAAUACUAGGCAAUUGUAUGAAGUGAACGAUUCUUACAUAUACAUAUGGGUCGAACUAUAAAUGAGUUCUUCCAGGUGGCGUUGGAUGAUAUGAAUCACAAUUUCAUGCCUGGUUACACAUGGUGGACAAGUCAUGAUGAGGAUGAGGAGGAUGCCGAAGUCGAAGGGGCGGAAUAUGAUGAUGAGCCAGAAGAAGGCAUGAAGAACGAGGCUGAACAUGAAAAGCACCUGGAUGGAUAGGAAGGCUGUGCGGAGGUUCAGGAAGUGAGAAACCUUUUGUACAAAAGGCAGAUAGAACCGAGUGAUAAAGACCUGUCCAAGAAGGAAUAUGUAGAUAACCAUGAUGACCAACAAUCUGGCAUUUAUCAAGAAGAAGAUGAAGUCCAGCUCAAAACGAAGUGUACGAAAAGAAGCCAAAGCACGUUGUUGGAUGUAGAAAGUUCUGUCGAGAGAAUUCAAAAAUGAUGGGGCAGUUGAUUUUAUAUAUCUUUUAUUACUUAACAUCA
Long non-coding RNA from Triticum dicoccoides, 1389 nucleotides. RefSeq lists it as uncharacterized. The record is from RefSeq and is a predicted model, not a curated record. The transcript has 4 exons. NCBI's taxonomy places the organism in Eukaryota, Viridiplantae, Streptophyta, Magnoliopsida, Poales, Poaceae.